This 362-nucleotide long non-coding RNA is filed under the name Homo sapiens (human). RNAcentral's name for it is "HSALNT0348803". Lineage: Eukaryota; Metazoa; Chordata; Mammalia; Primates; Hominidae. The record is from RNAcentral.
UACUAGUGCACGACACUUUACCAUAGUGACACCAGUGCACCCUCGUAUAUUGGUAAUAUGCAUGUGUAUAAUAUAAAUAUACACAAUAUGACAUAUUAUAUAUCUAUAUUGGUAUAUACAAAUGUAUAUUGGUAGUGUGUGUGCGUGUGUGUGUGGUGUGUGUGUAUGUGUGUGGUGUGUGUGGUGUGUGUGUGUCUGAUGUGUGUGUGGUGUGUGUGUGUGUCUGGUGUGUGUGUGGUGUGUGUGUGUGGUGUGUGUGUCUGGUGUGUGUGGUGUGUGUCUGGUGUGUGUGGUGUGUGUGUGGUAUGUGUGUAUGUGUGUGGUGUGUGUGUGUGUGUGUGUGUGUGGUGUGUGUGUGUGGU